This 901-nucleotide ribosomal RNA is filed under the name uncultured bacterium. Its description in RNAcentral is "bacterial SSU rRNA". It matches the Rfam family "Bacterial small subunit ribosomal RNA", at positions 52 to 944 of the family's 1533-position model. The record is from RNAcentral.
CACAUGCAAGUCGAGGGGAACGACAUCGAAAGCUUGCUUUUGAUGGGCGUCGACCGGCGCACGGGUGAGUAACGCGUAUCCAACCUGCCCACCACUUGGGAAUAACCUUGCGAAAGUAAGACUAAUACCCAAUGACGUCUCUAGAAGACAUCUGAAAGAGAUUAAAGAUUUAUCGGUGAUGGAUGGGGAUGCGUCUGAUUAGCUUGUUGGCGGGGUAACGGCCCACCAAGGCGACGAUCAGUAGGGGUUCUGAGAGGAAGGUCCCCCACAUUGGAACUGAGACACGGUCCAAACUCCUACGGGAGGCAGCAGUGAGGAAUAUUGGUCAAUGGGCGAGAGCCUGAACCAGCCAAGUAGCGUGCAGGAUGACGGCCCUAUGGGUUGUAAACUGCUUUUAUAAGGGAAUAAAGUGAGUCUCGUGAGACUUUUUGCAUGUACCUUAUGAAUAAGGACCGGCUAAUUCCGUGCCAGCAGCCGCGGUAAUACGGAAGGUCCGGGCGUUAUCCGGAUUUAUUGGGUUUAAAGGGAGCGUAGGCCGGAGAUUAAGCGUGUUGUGAAAUGUAGACGCUCAACGUCUGCACUGCAGCGCGAACUGGUUUCCUUGAGUACGCACAAAGUGGGCGGAAUUCGUGGUGUAGCGGUGAAAUGCUUAGAUAUCACGAAGAACUCCGAUUGCGAAGGCAGCUCACUGGAGCGCAACUGACGCUGAAGCUCGAAAGUGCGGGUAUCGAACAGGAUUAGAUACCCUGGUAGUCCGCACGGUAAACGAUGGAUGCCCGCUGUUGGUCUGAAUAGGUCAGCGGCCAAGCGAAAGCAUUAAGCAUCCCACCUGGGGAGUACGCCGGCAACGGUGAAACUCAAAGGAAUUGACGGGGGCCCGCACAAGCGGAGGAACAUGUGG